AUACGGAGGGUGCAAGCGUUGUUCGGAAUUACUGGGCGUAAAGAGUACGUAGGCGGUUGCUUAAGUCAGAUGUGAAAGUCCUCGGCUCAACCGGGGAAGUGCAUUUGAAACGGGCAGACUUGAGUACUGGAGGGGGUGGUGGAAUUCCCGGUGUAGAGGUGAAAUUCGUAGAUAUCGGGAGGAAUACCGGUGGCGAAGGCGACCACCUGGCCAGAUACUGACGCUGAGGUGCGAAAGCGUGGGGAGCAAACAGGAUUAGAAACCCGAGUAGUCC
Molecule: ribosomal RNA, 274 nt
Filed under: uncultured bacterium
Lineage: Bacteria
Description: partial 16S ribosomal RNA
Rfam family: Bacterial small subunit ribosomal RNA
Source: RNAcentral